RNAcentral lists this ribosomal RNA (252 nucleotides) under uncultured Bacteroidales bacterium. Its description in RNAcentral is "partial 16S ribosomal RNA". It matches the Rfam family "Bacterial small subunit ribosomal RNA", at positions 524 to 776 of the family's 1533-position model. Lineage: Bacteria; Pseudomonadati; Bacteroidota; Bacteroidia; Bacteroidales. The record is from RNAcentral.
UACGGAGGAUGCGAGCGUUAUCCGGAUUUAUUGGGUUUAAAGGGUGCGCAGGCGGAUUUUUAAGUCAGCGGUCAAAUCGUGGGGCUCAACCCCAUCCAGCCGUUGAAACUGGGGGCCUUGAGUGGGCGAGAAGAAGGCGGAAUGCGUGGUGUAGCGGUGAAAUGCAUAGAUAUCACGCAGAACCCCGAUUGCGAAGGCAGCCUUCCGGCGCCCUACUGACGCUGAGGCACGAAAGUGCGGGUAUCGAACAGG